This 82-nucleotide transfer RNA is filed under the name Dreissena polymorpha. It matches the Rfam family "tRNA". Rfam says of the family: Transfer RNA (tRNA) molecules are approximately 80 nucleotides in length. Their secondary structure includes four short double-helical elements and three loops (D, anti-codon, and T loops). The record is from Rfam by way of RNAcentral. Lineage: Eukaryota; Metazoa; Mollusca; Bivalvia; Myida; Dreissenidae.
GUUGUCAUGGCCGAGUGGUUAAGGCGGUGGACUAGAAAUAUUUUGGGAUUUUCCCGCGCAGGUUCGAAUCCUGCCGACAUCG